CAGUCAAGUAUAUUAGUCAAUGCUCGGAAGAGUGAACUAGCUAACUGCAAAUCACAAAAUCACAAAUAGUGCUUAUUAGUGAUAACGUAAGGGAAAAAAUUGAUAUUACCUUACUAUAAGUGUUGUCCAAAUAACUGGUGCCAGAAGACUCGGUAACACCAGAAACGCGAACGUUAGUCGUCUUAAACAGGCGUAAAGGGUAAGUAGGCUGCUUUAAAUGUCUAAAUUAAUAUAAGCUAAUUAAUAAAUUAUUUUUUUUUACUAAAAGUUUUCCAAUUAAAUAUAAAGAUGGCUAAAUAAGCUUCGUUGUAUUUAACACACUAAAAAUGAAAUUAUUUAGUAACUUGUUGUUUUUCUUGCAAUAAUAAUUAUUUUUUAUUAAAAUAGACUCACUUAAAGCUAGAAUCAUAAUUGAGAUGAACCAAAUAAUACUUAAGUGUAAGGGCGAUAUCUGUAAAUACUAAGUAGAAUACUAAUGGUGAAAACUUUUUAUCUAGGAAUGAUUGACGCUGAGGUACGAAAGUGAGAACAGGGAAUAGGAUUAGAUACCCAGUUACCUCUCACCGUCAACGAUGAAUGGUAGUUGUUAAUUUAUUAAAAUUAGUGACGAUGUUAACGCGAUAACCAUUCCGCCUUGAGAGUACGGUUGCAAAACUAAAACCNAAAAAAAUUAGUCGGUCUCGGAGCAAACGGAGUGAAGCAUGUUAUUAAUUCUAUAAUCG
This 722-nucleotide ribosomal RNA is filed under the name Inosperma pisciodorum. RNAcentral's name for it is "16S ribosomal RNA". It matches the Rfam family "Bacterial small subunit ribosomal RNA", at positions 352 to 960 of the family's 1533-position model. Lineage: Eukaryota; Fungi; Basidiomycota; Agaricomycetes; Agaricales; Inocybaceae. The record is from RNAcentral.